AUCUGGUUGAUUCUGCCAGUAGUCAUAUGCUUGUCUCAAAGAUUAAGCCAUGCAUGUCUAAGUAUAAGCACUUUAUACUGUGAAACUGCGAAUGGCUCAUUAAAUCAGUUAUCGUUUAUUUGAUAGUACCUUACUACAUGGAUACCUGUGGUAAUUCUAGAGCUAAUACAUGCUGAAAACCUCGACUUCGGAAGGGGUGUAUUUAUUAGAUAAAAAACCAAUGCCCUUCGGGGCUCCUUGGUGAAUCAUAAUAACUUAACGAAUCGCAUGGCCUUGCGCCGGCGAUGGUUCAUUCAAAUUUCUGCCCUAUCAACUUUCGAUGGUAGGAUAGUGGCCUACCAUGGUGGCAACGGGUAACGGGGAAUUAGGGUUCGAUUCCGGAGAGGGAGCCUGAGAAACGGCUACCACAUCCAAGGAAGGCAGCAGGCGCGCAAUUACCCAAUCCCGACACGGGGAGGUAGUGACAAUAAAUACUGAUACGGGGCUCUUUUGGGUUCGUAAUUGGAAUGAGUACAAUCUAAAUCCUUAACGAGGAACAAUUGGAGGGCAAGUCUGGUGCCAGCAGCCGCGGUAAUUCCAGCUCCAAUAGCGUAUAUUAAAGUUGUUGCAGUUAAAAAGCUCGUAGUUGAACCUUGGGUCUGGCUGGCCGGUCCGCCUCACCGCGAGUACUGGUCCGGCUGGACCUUUCCUUCUGGGGAAUCUCAUGGCCUUCACUGGCUGUGGGGGGAACCAGACUUUUACUGUGAAAAAAUUAGAGUGUUCAAAGCAGGCCUUUGCUCGAAUACAUUAGCAUGGAAUAAUAGAAUAGAGUGCGGUUCUAUUUUGUUGGUUUCUAGGACCGCCGUAAUGAUUAAUAGGGAUAGUCGGGGGCGUCAGUAUUCAGCUGUCAGAGGUGAAAUUCUUGGAUUUGCUGAAGACUAACUACUGCGAAAGCAUUCGCCAAGGAUGUUUUCAUUAAUCAGGGAACGAAAGUUAGGGAUCGAAGACGAUCAGAUACCGUCGUAGUCUUAACCAUAAACUAUGCCGACUAGGGAUCGGACGGUGUUUCUAUUAUGACCCGUUCGGCACCUUACGAGAAAUCAAAGUUUUUGGGUUCUGGGGGGAGUAUGGUCGCAAGGCUGAAACUUAAAGAAUUGACGGAAAGGGCACCACCAGGCGUGGAGCCUGCGGCUUAAUUUGACUCAACACGGGGAAACUCACCAGGUCCAGACAAAUAAGGAUUGACAGAUUGAGAGCUCUUUCUUGAUCUUUUGGAUGGUGGUGCAUGGCCGUUCUUAGUUGGUGGAGUGAUUGUCUGCUUAAUUGCGAUAACGAACGAGACCUCGGCCUUAAAUAGCCCGGUCCGCAUUUGCGGGCCGCUGGCUUCUUAGGGGGACUAUCGGCUCAAGCCGAUGGAAGUGCGCGGCAAUAACAGGUCUGUGAUGCCCUUAGAUGUUCUGGGCCGCACGCGCGCUACACUGACAGGGCCAGCGAGUACAUCACCUUGGCCGAGAGGUCUGGGUAAUCUUGUUAAACCCUGUCGUGCUGGGGAUAGAGCAUUGCAAUAUUGCUCUUCAACGAGGAAUGCCUAGUAGGCACGAGUCAUCAGCUCGUGCGAUUACGUCCCUGCCCUUUGUACACACCGCCGUCGCUACUACCGAUUGAAUGGCUCGGUGAGGCCUUCGGACUGGCUCAGGAGGUUGGCAACGACCCCCAGAGCGGAAAGUUGGUCAAACCCGGUCAUUUAGAGGAAGUAAAAGUCGUAAAAGGUUUCGUAGGUGAACCUGCGAAGGAUCAUUA
This 1779-nucleotide ribosomal RNA is filed under the name Aspergillus awamori. Its description in RNAcentral is "SSU rRNA". It matches the Rfam family "Eukaryotic small subunit ribosomal RNA". The record is from RNAcentral. Lineage: Eukaryota; Fungi; Ascomycota; Eurotiomycetes; Eurotiales; Aspergillaceae.